UGUAAUUUACUUUAGCACUUGAGAAUAACAUUAUCAUCAUCCUUGAGCUUUAGAUAGUUCUUUCAAAGCAUUAGCAAUUUUUUCCACACUUGUUUCAGUAAUACAUGCAACAAGAGGACUCUUAUCAGUUACCUGAGUGCCUGUGCUCUAGAUGCAAGGAGCGGAAUGACCUGCAUAUAUGUUGACCUUCUGCAGUACAUAGGAUGACAUCGUAGGCCUCGCAUGCGAAGCUUCUGCCUCAAGUCAUCAACUCUCUUUGCCUGAAAAUAACAAUUACAAGGAUCAUUUCAAUCAAUAACACAGAAUGUCAAAAUACGAGUAAAUAGACAUUUUAGUCCUUGAAAUUGUAAAGGUCGGUCGAUUUUGUUCCUCAAAUUUGCAAGAUCGCAAUUUUGUCCCUUAAGUUGAAAAAUACCAAUCAAUUUAGUCCUUUUCUUAUUUUGCUGUAUAAUUUUAAAGGUUCUAUGUUUGUCUUGAUGCAUCAAAAGACUAUUUAACUCAAUGUGUAUGUUUUUUAUUUGUUUUAAUUGAUGUUUACUAAAGAAGUAUUUUGAUGGAGGGACGAAAUUGAUUGCUAUUUCAAAAUUUGAGGGAUUGAAUUGACCGACCGUUACAAUUUGAAAGACUAAAAUAUCUAUUUACUCAUCAAAAUACAGAAGUGAAUUUCAUCAUGUACCUUACUAAGAUCCUUUAUUUUGUAUGAGAUGCAAUGUGCGUUACUUGAUUUC
This 728-nucleotide long non-coding RNA is filed under the name Medicago truncatula (barrel medic). Its description in RNAcentral is "lncRNA gene14960". The record is from RNAcentral. Lineage: Eukaryota; Viridiplantae; Streptophyta; Magnoliopsida; Fabales; Fabaceae.